Molecule: long non-coding RNA, 1251 nt
Organism: Canis lupus familiaris (dog)
Lineage: Eukaryota; Metazoa; Chordata; Mammalia; Carnivora; Canidae
Exons: 3
Source: RefSeq, a predicted model, not a curated record
GAUAAGGCUGGAGAGAAAUAUUUUUUGAAAAUACGUUGCCAGGCAGCUUGGGAGUGAUUUAACAGAACCAUCCUACGGGGUAUGAAUUUAACCUUUGAUCUCUGAAAUGAAGGUCAGCAAAUUUGUUUUUACUUUGCAUCUCUCUUUGUCAGCUCCACGGAGCAAAUCAGUGUCUGAAGAAGAGGCUGUGUCCGCAGGACCAUGACUGCGGGGAUCACAAGAAGUUAACCGGCCAUUCAAAGCCAUGUGACGGUUGUCUCUCUCGGUCGUGACAAAGAGGAGACCGUGCCGGGAGGGCUCCGUGGAGGAAGCUGGUUCUCCAGCACAGGGACUGUUCUCGUUCAUGAGCUCCCAUCCUCCAACGUCGCCUUCCUAAUUCACUGAGAGGGAUUCCACGGUCGGGCCGCACAGGGAGGCACAGGGAGCUUUCUUCGGCGAGUGCCUGUGCCCGCGGGGCGGGGAGCAUCUCAAAGGUGGAAACGCCGAGCCUCAGAGCACCGGUGGAAGAGCGGAGGUUGAUUUGGACGGCGCACGCCAGGCGCCCGAAUCCCACCCCACGCCUGCCGCCUUUGCUUUCUCUCGCGCUUUUGUUCAUGAUGCCUGCGUUCUGACCUCAUCUCCGCCGUCCCACUGAGCCGCACCACCUUGGGCGCUGCGCGGCCGUCCACUCCCCUGCCCACUUGUUUUGGCUGGGAUUGCAGCCCAUAUAUGGGAGAAUCGAGCCGAACAUCACAGAGCUGGAGGCGCGCCUCCCGCCUCCGUGCAGCGGUGGCCGGUCAGUAGAAAAAGGUGACAUCAUGGCUAUUCCAGGACUUCAGGUCUGCAGCACAAAGUGACUUUCCUGCUGUACAUCAGAGUCAGAACCUGGACCCAAGACAAAAACAACUCUCCCUUCCCAUAAAUAUCUGCUCUGGGGCUCAAAAAUAUUCUAAGUGCAAUGGCUCAGAAAUGGUCACUUUCCUCGGAGACCCAUCUGAUUUUCCAAGUCCAAUCACAAACUUUUUAACGGCGUGUCAUGAACCUCUCAGCUCAUUAUUUCUCUUCAAAGCCCUCCGGUUUGCCAGCUCGGAGCCUGCGAAGUGUUGUUUGAUGAUGUGCUGCACCAUAAAUAAAUGCAUAGGACAUACCAAAAAUCCAUCCCUCACUACUUCUGGCUUUCCCGCUGGGAAUAGUGCCAUAUAACCAGGGGUGUGUGAUUUGCAGCAAUUGCUCUGAGCUGAGGUUGGGUGGUUUGUUUUUUUUUUAAGAACA